CCUACGGGUGGCAGCAGUGGGGAAUAUUGGACAAUGGGCGAAAGCCUGAUCCAGCCAUGCCGCGUGUGUGAAGAAGGCCUUCGGGUUGUAAAGCACUUUCAGUGGGGAAGAAAGCCUUGGGGCUAAUACCCUCGAGGAAGGACAUCACCCACAGAAGAAGCACCGGCUAACUCCGUGCCAGCAGCCGCGGUAAUACGGAGGGUGCGAGCGUUAAUCGGAAUUACUGGGCGUAAAGCGCGCGUAGGCGGUCUGAUAAGCCGGUUGUGAAAGCCCCGGGCUCAACCUGGGAACGGCAUCCGGAACUGUCAGGCUAGAGUGCAGGAGAGGAAGGUAGAAUUCCCGGUGUAGCGGUGAAAUGCUUAGAGAUCGGGAGGAAUACCAGUGGCGAAGGCGGCCUUCUGGACUGACACUGACGCUGAGGUGCGAAAGCGUGGGUAGCAAACAGGAUUAGAUACCCGAGUAGUC
Molecule: ribosomal RNA, 465 nt
Filed under: Vreelandella stevensii
Lineage: Bacteria; Pseudomonadati; Pseudomonadota; Gammaproteobacteria; Oceanospirillales; Halomonadaceae
Description: partial 16S ribosomal RNA
Rfam family: Bacterial small subunit ribosomal RNA
Source: RNAcentral